This 750-nucleotide ribosomal RNA is filed under the name Bacillus siamensis. Its description in RNAcentral is "bacterial SSU rRNA". It matches the Rfam family "Bacterial small subunit ribosomal RNA", at positions 18 to 750 of the family's 1533-position model. The record is from RNAcentral. Lineage: Bacteria; Bacillati; Bacillota; Bacilli; Caryophanales; Bacillaceae.
CAUGGCUCAGGACGAACGCUGGCGGCGUGCCUAAUACAUGCAAGUCGAGCGGACAGAUGGGAGCUUGCUCCCUGAUGUUAGCGGCGGACGGGUGAGUAACACGUGGGUAACCUGCCUGUAAGACUGGGAUAACUCCGGGAAACCGGGGCUAAUACCGGAUGGUUGUUUGAACCGCAUGGUUCAGACAUAAAAGGUGGCUUCGGCUACCACUUACAGAUGGACCCGCGGCGCAUUAGCUAGUUGGUGAGGUAACGGCUCACCAAGGCGACGAUGCGUAGCCGACCUGAGAGGGUGAUCGGCCACACUGGGACUGAGACACGGCCCAGACUCCUACGGGAGGCAGCAGUAGGGAAUCUUCCGCAAUGGACGAAAGUCUGACGGAGCAACGCCGCGUGAGUGAUGAAGGUUUUCGGAUCGUAAAGCUCUGUUGUUAGGGAAGAACAAGUGCCGUUCAAAUAGGGCGGCACCUUGACGGUACCUAACCAGAAAGCCACGGCUAACUACGUGCCAGCAGCCGCGGUAAUACGUAGGUGGCAAGCGUUGUCCGGAAUUAUUGGGCGUAAAGGGCUCGCAGGCGGUUUCUUAAGUCUGAUGUGAAAGCCCCCGGCUCAACCGGGGAGGGUCAUUGGAAACUGGGGAACUUGAGUGCAGAAGAGGAGAGUGGAAUUCCACGUGUAGCGGUGAAAUGCGUAGAGAUGUGGAGGAACACCAGUGGCGAAGGCGACUCUCUGGUCUGUAACUGACGCUAGA